GAACUUAGCAGAGAUGCUUUGGUGCCUUCGGGAACUCUGAGACAGGUGCUGCAUGGCUGUCGUCAGCUCGUGUUGUGAAAUGUUGGGUUAAGUCCCGNAACGAGCGCAACCCUUAUCCUUUGUUGCCAGCGGCUCGGCCGGGAACUCAAAGGAGACCGCCGGUGAUAAACCGGAGGAAGGUGGGGAUGACGUCAAGUCAUCAUGGCCCUUACGGCCAGGGCUACACACGUGCUACAAUGGCGCAUACAAAGAGAAGCGACCUCGCGAGAGCAAGCGGACCUCACAAAGUGCGUCGUAGUCCGGAUUGGAGUCUGCAACUCGACUCCAUGAAGUCGGAAUCGCUAGUAAUCGUAGAUCAGAAUGCUACGGUGAAUACGUUCCCGGGCCUUGUACACACCGCCCGUCACACCAUGGGAGUGGGUUGCAAAAGAAGUAGGUAGCUUAACCUUCGGGAGGGCGCUUACCACUUUGUGAUUCAUGACUGGGGUGAAGUCGUAACAAGGUAGGCGUAGCGAG
RNAcentral lists this ribosomal RNA (516 nucleotides) under uncultured bacterium. RNAcentral describes it as "bacterial SSU rRNA". It matches the Rfam family "Bacterial small subunit ribosomal RNA", at positions 993 to 1509 of the family's 1533-position model. The record is from RNAcentral.